Molecule: long non-coding RNA, 873 nt
Filed under: Brachypodium distachyon (stiff brome)
Lineage: Eukaryota; Viridiplantae; Streptophyta; Magnoliopsida; Poales; Poaceae
Description: long non-coding RNA (BDIS_LNC000821)
Source: RNAcentral
GGCCAAAACUAAAAAGACUAGCAAAGUUGGAUCCCAUAUGAAUGGCUCCCAAGGGUUACAUUCACGUCUAAUUAUCUUUUGUGAUUAAUGUUUAUAUUGAUCGACCAUCUAGGCAAGGCCAUGUCUGGACAGAAUCUGGGUUCUUCGUUCGUGUUCGACACCGUCAAUGCCAGGAGGCAUGGCUAUAUUGAACAUUUCAUAGUCCAGGAGAUGCACCGGUGGUGGUUGUAGUUGUUGUUGCGUGUCGUCGUUCGCUUUGGCUUUUUGUUUUCUUGUUUCCUUUUUUUUGGCUAUGUGCAUCCUCGAUAUCUCGGUUGUUCUUGACAUUGUGUUGUUGCAGAGGCUAUAGGUGUACUUGAUAUCUUUUUGAUAUUAAUAAUAUUACUCUUUAUCGAAAAAAAUGUCUGUCAAUAGCGGACUAGCGGAGGCCACUUAGCUAGUUACUCUCUCCGUGGCUACUGAAUCCAAACGAGUCCAAAUUUGUCACUCAAGUAAAGCAGUAAAACGCAAACAACCACAUUAUUAUUUUAGAUGGUGGCCUGGGAGGGGGGGGGGGUGUUUAUGAAAUGAGGUAAUGAUUAUUUAAUAUUUAUCUUUUUCCUAUCUGUGAUUAAUCUAUACAUUUAUUGACAAUAUAUGCAAGACCAUUUCUGACGGAAAAUGUAAGUCUCUACUAGCGUGAACCGUCGUAUCGCGGGGCUACUUAGCAGGUUACUUGCUGGCCACUGAAUGCAAGCCAGCUAGCAGUGGCAGAGCUAGACGAGAAUGUCUUUCUGAACCGCAGCGGUGCGAUGGGGGUCAGGGGGAUCGGCAGCAGCGUGCGGUCAAGGUGGGCCUGGGCCCUUGGUGUUCUAAUGCGGCGCUUUUGCAGAG